GAGUUUAGCUCAGUGGUAGAAUGUUUACCUUGCAUGCACAAGGCCCUGGGUUCAAUCCCAGAACCA
Molecule: transfer RNA, 66 nt
Filed under: Marmota monax (woodchuck)
Lineage: Eukaryota; Metazoa; Chordata; Mammalia; Rodentia; Sciuridae
Description: tRNA.Ala
Source: RNAcentral